UGAGGAAUAUUGGUCAAUGGACGGAAGUCUGAACCAGCCAAGUAGCGUGCAGGAUGACGGCCCUAUGGGUUGUAAACUGCUUUUGUAUGGGGAUAAAGUUAGGGACGUGUCCCUAUUUGCAGGUACCAUAUGAAUAAGGACCGGCUACUUCCGUGCCAGCAGCCGCGGUAAUACGGAAGGUUCAGGCGUUAUCCGGAUUUAUUGGGUUUAAAGGGAGCGUAGGCUGGAGAUUAAGUGUGUUGUGAAAUGUAGACGCUCAACGUCUGACUUGCAGCGCAUACUGGUUUCCUUGAGUACGCACAACGUUGGCGGAAUUCGUCGUGUAGCGGUGAAAUGCUUAGAUAUGACGAAGAACUCCGAUUGCGAAGGCAGCUGACGGGAGCGCAACUGACGCUUAAGCUUGAAGGUGCGGGUAUCAAACAGGAUUAGAUACCCUGGUAGUCCGCACAGUAACGAUGGAUGCCCGCUGUUGGUACCUGGUAUCAGCGGCUAAGCGAAAGCAUUAAGCAUCCCACCUGGGGAGUACGCCGGCAACGGUG
This 539-nucleotide ribosomal RNA is filed under the name uncultured bacterium. RNAcentral describes it as "bacterial SSU rRNA". It matches the Rfam family "Bacterial small subunit ribosomal RNA", at positions 355 to 896 of the family's 1533-position model. The record is from RNAcentral.